Molecule: non-coding RNA, 68 nt
Organism: Potamilus streckersoni
Lineage: Eukaryota; Metazoa; Mollusca; Bivalvia; Unionida; Unionidae
Source: the annotation of a GenBank genome assembly
GAUGGUAUAGUGGUUAGAGCUUCCGCCUCGGAUGCGGGAGGUCGCCGGUUCGAACUCUGGCCAAAUCA